AGGGAAGCCCAAUGACUUUACUUUUACUUUAUUCCAGGUUAAGGUCUCUACUGUAACAGUGUUCAUUACAAGGAACAUGUAGGACCAAGCUAAAGACUGAAGCAAGAGAUGGAGAUGUUGGCCAGGACUACAACAGCCAUCUUGUGACCAUGAGAAAAGCCAAGGACAUUUCAAAGACCUCUUCAUAUCCUUGUACCCUCUAAUUAACACCAGCAACUGCCUAUUUUUUGGACUUCUCGUUACAAUAAAAAAAUAAAACCUGAACUGUUUAAUAAAGCCACUGAUUUGGGGUCUCUGUUUCUCUUAGUCAAGUACAAUUAAUAAAAAAGGGUGACAAAGAACUAUGCACCAAUCCAGACUCUUCAAGAAUAUACAUUACAGUAAACAAUAUAAGAGUACAUAAAUUGCUAAAUUAUGAGAAAUCAUCAGGAAAUGCCACAGGAGUUCAGGGAAUAUGCUUCACAGAACAAAUCAAGAACUCAAAACAGGUGCUAAAAGGUCAUAAAUUUCUGUACUGAUAUAAAUUAGAUGAAAGUUGAGUUAUAGAAAUAUUUUAAAAGCCUAUGUGAUAGUGCUGAUCCACUAAAGCAGCUGUUUGAAUCUUGGUUCCCCCCCCUCCCUUUUCUAAAUAUAUCUAAAUAUAGACUCAAUAGUCGGCUUUCCACUUAGAAUAGUACCCAGAAAACGUUUGAUAUUAUCUUUAGAAGAAAGGAAGAAGUUUUUGUUAGAAGUUUAUCUCCAGGAAGGAAACACACUGAAGUUUCAAAAACAGCACCAGCUAUUUAAGGAAUAACUCCUGAUGUUCACAAGGAAGCCAUAAGUACUUGAGAUGUGUUUAAAUUAAAAAUGACAAUUUUAACUGGUUGGGGAACUUCCAGUGACAGUUCCAUCCCUCCUAUUCCUGCUGUCCAAAUAAUUUCCACCCUCUUUGUUGCUCUUUAGGGAAUAGUGUUGAGACUAUACAUUUGUUCUGGUUUUGUGCUUCCAUUUUAUUUCAUUUGUUAGAUACUUCCACCUUGGGAGAAUUCCCCACCCCUAAAUUUAUAGAGAUAUAACUCUAUAAAUAUACAUAAGUUGUAUUUAUACAAUAUAUACAUAUACAUAU
Aethalodelphis obliquidens (Pacific white-sided dolphin) is the source of this 1105-nucleotide long non-coding RNA. RefSeq lists it as uncharacterized. Lineage: Eukaryota; Metazoa; Chordata; Mammalia; Artiodactyla; Delphinidae. The transcript has 3 exons. The record is from RefSeq and is a predicted model, not a curated record.